UAAGGAAUAUUGGUCAAUGGACGCAAGUCUGAACCAGCCAUGCCGCGUGAAGGAUGAAGGUCCUCUGGAUUGUAAACUUCUUUUAUCUGGGACAAAAACGGGAUUUUUAUCUCAAUUGACGGUACCAGAGGAAUAAGCACCGGCUAACUCCGUGCCAGCAGCCGCGGUAAUACGGAGGGUGCGAGCGUUAUCCGGAUUUACUGGGUUUAAAGGGUGCGUAGGUGGGCUUAUAAGUCAGUGGUGGAAUCUCCGAGCUUAACUUGGAAACUGCCGUUGAUACUAUAGGUCUUGAAUUAUCUGGAGGUAAGCGGAAUAUGUCAUGUAGCGGUGAAAUGCUUAGAUAUGACAUAGAACACCAAUUGCGAAGGCAGCUUACUACAUAUAAAUUGACGCUGAGGCACGAAAGCGUGGGGA
This 414-nucleotide ribosomal RNA is filed under the name uncultured bacterium. RNAcentral's name for it is "bacterial SSU rRNA". It matches the Rfam family "Bacterial small subunit ribosomal RNA", at positions 355 to 767 of the family's 1533-position model. The record is from RNAcentral.